AUGGAGGAGCAACACUUUGCACCGUCACCAAGCAACUAUGGUGGUGGAGGUGCAUGGUACAUGGACUCGGGUGCCACCUAUCAUAUGACGUCUCAUCCCGAUAACCUAACCUCCUCCACUUUCGUUCACACUCAAACCCGUAUCACCGUUGGUAACGGUUCCUCUUUACCCACACAUGUCGGCCGCACUAAUUUUCCUUCCAGAUCCACACCUAUUACUAUGUAUAAUGUUCUUGUUUCACCUGACUUUGUCACGAACCUUGUUUCUGUUCGUCAUCUUGCUCGUGAGAAUCCCAUUACCGUUGAAUUUGACGAUGUUGGUUUUUCUGUGAAGGACUCCCGUAGACGGAUGGUACUUCACCAAUGUGACAGUCCUCAUGAGCUCUAUCAUGUGCACGCCGGCGCCACCACCUCCACUCCAGUAGCUCUUGCAGCCGAUGUCGACAUAUGGCGUGCUCGCCUUGGCCAUCCCAACCCUACCGUUUUACGUCAAAUUCUUAGGAGUUUUUCAUUCUCAUGUAAUAAGAUCGAUGAUCAUACUUGUGAGGCUUGUCGUCUAGGAAAGCACGUUCGUCUUCCCUUUAGUGCGUCUACGACUAUUUCCACUUUUCCGUUUCAGUUACUUCAUAGUGAUGUUUGGACAUAUCCCGUUGCAAGCAACACCGGCUACCUUCAUUAUUUGGUGAUUUUAGAUGAUUAUUCCCAUUAUAUGUGGAUUUCCCCCUUCGUCGCAAAUCCGACGCCUUAG
Molecule: ribosomal RNA, 747 nt
Filed under: Triticum aestivum (bread wheat)
Lineage: Eukaryota; Viridiplantae; Streptophyta; Magnoliopsida; Poales; Poaceae
Description: partial small subunit ribosomal RNA
Source: RNAcentral